Molecule: ribosomal RNA, 253 nt
Filed under: uncultured bacterium
Lineage: Bacteria
Description: partial 16S ribosomal RNA
Rfam family: Bacterial small subunit ribosomal RNA
Source: RNAcentral
UACGGAGGGUGCGAGCGUUGUUCGGAAUCACUGGGCGUAAAGCGCGUGUAGGCGGCUUCUUAAGUCCGAUGUGAAAGCCCGGGGCUCACCCCCGGAAGUGCAUUGGAUACUGGGAAGCUGGAGUACCGGAGAGGAGGGUGGAAUUCCUGGUGUAGCGGUGAAAUGCGUAGAUAUCAGGAGGAACACCUGUGGCGAAGGCGGGUCUCUGGGCCGAUACUGACGCUGAGGAGCGAAAGCGUGGGGAGCAAACAGG